Molecule: ribosomal RNA, 209 nt
Filed under: uncultured bacterium
Lineage: Bacteria
Description: partial 16S ribosomal RNA
Rfam family: Bacterial small subunit ribosomal RNA
Source: RNAcentral
UGCGUAGGUGGCGAGGUAAGUUGGAUGUGAAAUCCCGGGGCUUAACCCUGGAACUGCAUUCAAUACUGCCUUGCUCGAGUACUGGAGAGGAGAUUGGAAUUUACGGUGUAGCAGUGAAAUGCGUAGAUAUCGUAAGGAAGACCGGUGGCGAAGGCGGAUCUCUGGACAGUUACUGACACUGAGGCACGAGGGCCAGGGAGGCAAAACGG